GCUCCCAUGGCGUAGUGGUCACUGCGCUCGCCUUGCACGCGGGAGACCCGGGUUCGAUUCCCGCCGGGGUCA
RNAcentral lists this transfer RNA (72 nucleotides) under Diaphorina citri (Asian citrus psyllid). It matches the Rfam family "tRNA". From Rfam's summary of the family: Transfer RNA (tRNA) molecules are approximately 80 nucleotides in length. Their secondary structure includes four short double-helical elements and three loops (D, anti-codon, and T loops). Further hydrogen bonds mediate the characteristic L-shaped molecular structure. tRNAs have two regions of fundamental functional importance: the anti-codon, which is responsible for specific mRNA codon recognition, and the 3' end, to which the tRNAs corresponding amino acid is attached (by aminoacyl-tRNA synthetases). tRNAs cope with the degeneracy of the genetic code in two manners: having more than one tRNA (with a specific anti-codon) for a particular amino acid; and 'wobble' base-pairing, i.e. permitting non-standard base-pairing at the 3rd anti-codon position. The record is from Rfam by way of RNAcentral. Lineage: Eukaryota; Metazoa; Arthropoda; Insecta; Hemiptera; Psyllidae.